GAGGGUGUAGCUCAAGUGGUAGAGCGCAUGCUUAGCAUGCAUGAGGUCCUGGGUUCAAUCCCCAGUCCCUCC
RNAcentral lists this transfer RNA (72 nucleotides) under Camelus bactrianus (Bactrian camel). It matches the Rfam family "tRNA". Rfam says of the family: Transfer RNA (tRNA) molecules are approximately 80 nucleotides in length. The record is from Rfam by way of RNAcentral. Lineage: Eukaryota; Metazoa; Chordata; Mammalia; Artiodactyla; Camelidae. RNAcentral also lists the same sequence under 1 other name.